RNA transcript from Rhincodon typus (whale shark), 1634 nucleotides. RefSeq lists it as uncharacterized. The record is from RefSeq and is a predicted model, not a curated record. Lineage: Eukaryota; Metazoa; Chordata; Chondrichthyes; Orectolobiformes; Rhincodontidae. The transcript is spliced from 3 exons.
UCCUCUCUAUCCUGUCCAGAUAAAGUAAAACCGAAAUCAAAAAAGAAGGAGGAACCAAGUUCGAUAUUCCAGCGUCAGAGAGUGGAUAUGCUUCUCCUGGAUAUACGGCAAAAAUUCCAGCCCAAGUUUAUUCAGCCCAAAUCUGGAGACAAGCCUGUGCCAGUGGAGCAAGUGAAAAAGGAAACUGAGCCAACAACUGAGACCAUCAAACAGGAGGAGAAAGACUCCACAAAGAACUCGCAGCAGAGCUCAAGCACCAAGGCUCCUCCUGAGAAACGAAUGCGACUCCAGUGAAGAGGUGAUGAAUGUCUGUCACUGGCUUGAGUUGCCAAAUCUCUGGCUCAAUUGUUGUGAGCCGUUGAACUUUUGGACUUUAUUUUGCACAGAAGUGAAUUUUGUUUUGUGCUUUUUAUUUUUAUACGUCAAACAUGAAAUGGGUUCAUCUCUAGGAGAGGCUUAAUCUCUUCAGUUCUUAAUCCUCGUCCAAUUCCAAGAUAUCAUCCGUUCUUAUUGCUUCAGACAUUUUCUGCGGACCAUCCUGCUUCACUAGAUAAGAAGAGGAAUCAGUAUAAAGAUGCAAAGCUGUCAUUUUAAGAAUGACAGUCUAAAGUGAUCAAGCUUAGACUAAGUGAUGAGACUUCUUACGCUUGGAAUGAUAUUGAGGAAAUUAGUUGUUAUUAUCCUAUGACACCAUUCUUUAACCAGUGGAUAUCCAUGGGCAGUACAAAUUGGAAUCGCAUCAAUCUACAUGGACACUAUUCCAGCAAAGCUAACAUUUGGUAGAUGUUUAUAAAUAAGAUUUUAUCUCAAUAGCUACAGAUUUUCAUUGUGUCUUGAUAGUCAGAGGGGGUGUUUUAUUUGUGGUGUAGAAUGUUCUGCCCACUGUGUUGUUAAUGACACAGUGCUGCUUUCUGUCUGACUGAGAUUGGGAAUGCAUUGCCUAGAAGUGUUCCUGCAAGUCCUACCACAGCGUGCAUCUUAGCAAUGCAUUGUGUUGCUUUGUAAAGGUAGAUAAUUAAAAAUCAAAGAGCCAAGAGCUCCCCACCUAAUGAUUUACUUGGUAACGGCAGCUUUUAGAGAAAUGUUAAGCAAGAAGUUUCCAUAUUUGAAUGCUAGCUUGUACUGAGCUAUUGGAAUUAACUUUGGGAAGAUCGUGAUGGUCAAGUAGCUUAUGCUAGGAUCAAUUUCUAAGUUCAUAUGGGAACAAGAUCGGUCAGAGGCUGUGAUCAAAAUCUCGAGUAUAAUUAUCUAUUAGGAAAAUGUUGUGUGGUUACUAAGACCUAAUUAACAUUAUUUGAGCAGGAGACAGAACCUCCAGAAUCUCAAAGUGGAAAUUUUGUAAAGGCAAAGUUGCUGAACAAUAUCUUCCAUUUAACUGGCUCAGUCCCAUAUGCUUCACUGCUUGAAGUUUGUACUGUUUACAAUAUCUUUUGCUGUGUAAAGAGUGGAUUGAAUUUCCUAAUAGUUAGUGAGUAGGACCCCAAUAAAGAGUAAUGUAGGAAUAAUUUGAUCUUUCACUUUAAAUAAACAUCUUUGAAAAAUAGUGUAACUGAAGAUAUGCCUUUCAGGUAUUGGAAAUAGAAUAAAAAAUAACUAUGAUUUUGUGUACCACUGAAUAAAGAAGCCUGAAAUUG